UUAAAAAAGAACAUCAUACCGUAGACAGUAGGUGCGCAGUGCGCUUAAUUUCCUGCCGAGGUAAGCCUAUAGAUUCAGUGAAUAUAACUGACAUCAAUAUGCCCUCAUGUCUACAUGGGGGCUUUUUAUAUCGCUUC
This is a non-coding RNA of Bacillus sp. LL01, 137 nucleotides long. The record is from Rfam. Lineage: Bacteria; Bacillati; Bacillota; Bacilli; Caryophanales; Bacillaceae.